Molecule: ribosomal RNA, 440 nt
Filed under: uncultured bacterium
Lineage: Bacteria
Description: partial 16S ribosomal RNA
Rfam family: Bacterial small subunit ribosomal RNA
Source: RNAcentral
CCUACGGGAGGCUGCAGUAGGGAAUAUUGCUCAAUGGGGGAAACCCUGAAGCAGCAACGCCGCGUGGAGGAUGAAGGUUUUCGGAUUGUAAACUCCUUUUGUUAGAGAAGAUAAUGACGGUAUCUAACGAAUAAGCACCGGCUAACUCCGUGCCAGCAGCCGCGGUAAUACGGAGGGUGCAAGCGUUACUCGGAAUCACUGGGCGUAAAGAGCGCGUAGGCGGGAUAGCAAGUCAGAUGUGAAAUCCUAGGGCUUAACCAUAGAACUGCAUUUGAAACUGUUAUUCUAGAGUAUGGGAGAGGUAGGUGGAAUUCUUGGUGUAGGGGUAAAAUCCGUAGAGAUCAAGAGGAAUACUCAUUGCGAAGGCGACCUGCUAGAACAUAACUGACGCUGAUUCGCGAAAGCGUGGGGAGCAAACAGGAUUAGAUACCCUUGUAGUC